UGCCAGCCGCCGCGGUAACACGGGGGGCGCAAGCGUUAUUCGGAAUUAUUGGGCGUAAAGGGCGCGCAGGCGGUUUGUUAAGCUAGACGUGAAAGCCCCGGGCUUAACCUGGGAAUUGCAUUCGAUACUGCAGAGCUAGAGUAUGGUAGAGGGAAGUGGAAUUCCGGGUGUAGCGGUGAAAUGCGUAGAUAUCCGGAGGAACACCAGUGGCGAAGGCGACUUCCUGGGCCAAUACUGACGCUGAGGUGCGAAAGCGUGGGGAGCAAACAGGAUUAGAUA
Molecule: ribosomal RNA, 279 nt
Filed under: uncultured bacterium
Lineage: Bacteria
Description: partial 16S ribosomal RNA
Rfam family: Bacterial small subunit ribosomal RNA
Source: RNAcentral